RNAcentral lists this long non-coding RNA (527 nucleotides) under Salvia miltiorrhiza (redroot sage). RNAcentral's name for it is "long non-coding RNA (SMIL_LNC011971)". Lineage: Eukaryota; Viridiplantae; Streptophyta; Magnoliopsida; Lamiales; Lamiaceae. The record is from RNAcentral.
UGUGUACAAGAUUUGCACCUUCUCCCGAAUCAUAUCGUCUAUAUGACCACUUGGCCACUUUGCAUUGACUUCAAUUCAUGUUACCUUUCAAAGCUUCACAUCUGCAGUGACACGCCUAAAUGAGAUUUCACUUUUCGAAUGAUGAACGGCUCGGGCACCAUGACAUUUACCCUUGCCCCCAAUAUGCAUUAUCGUUUUGGUCGACGCUACAGAUGACAUUGUUCGCCUCCUCGAUUCAAAUACAGUCGAUGAGAUCGGUUUCUUCGGAUGUGUAAGUAUGACGCCUGCUUUUUCGCCUUCUUCCCUCGUCGCCUUCUUGCCCUUCACUCUCAGUGCUAUCGGCCUCGGUGUGGUUCGACCGAGCCAUGACCUUCUUCUGUAUCCAUACCCAAGUUAAUCGUCGUGAGGUUCGGUUGGUAAUAUGACCCGAAUAGAUUGUCGCACCAAUUUGGAGAAAAGAAAUCAGGAUUAUUGAAAUCUAUGGGAGGAAAAAAUUGAGAGAGAUUGAGAGAGAAUAAAGAGGAAAA